Molecule: non-coding RNA, 107 nt
Organism: Cladorrhinum samala
Lineage: Eukaryota; Fungi; Ascomycota; Sordariomycetes; Sordariales; Podosporaceae
Source: the annotation of a GenBank genome assembly
GGGUGACUAGUCUAGUGGUCAGGACGCUUCGUUGUGGUUCAAAAUCUUUCGUUUGAAUUUGAUUCACGGCGACCGAAGAAACCCCGGUUCGAUUCCGGGGUCGCCCA